ACGAUAAAGCGGGUGAAAAGCCCGCUCGCCGUAAGCCCAAGGUUUCCUGCUCUACGUUCAUCGGAGCAGGGUGAGUCGGCCCCUAAGGCCAGGCUGAGAAGCGUAGCUGAUGGGAAGCAGAUUAAGAUUUCUGCACCGACAUUAAGUGCGAAGGGGGGACGGAGUUUUGAGCAUCAUCCGGGUGUUGGAUGUCCCGGUUUGUGCGUGUAGGAGGCCGGCAGGCAAAUCCGCCGGCGAAUCUCCGAGACAAAGCAUCGAGCUGCAUUUUGCAGUGAAGUGAUGGGAUGAACUUCCAGGAAAAGCCUCUAAGCAAUAGCUUAAUGUCGACCGUACCGUAAACCGACACAGGUGGGCGAGUUGAAUAUACUCAGGCGCUUGAGAGAACUCGGGAGAAGGAACUCGGCAAAUUGACACCGUAACUUCGGGAUAAGGUGUGCCUUUGUAGUGUGAAGAGUGAAACACUCCGAGCAUGAAGAGGUCACAGAGAAUAGGUGGCUGCAACUGUUUACUAAAAACACAGCACUCUGCAAAGACGAAAGUCGACGUAUAGGGUGUGAUGCCUGCCCGGUGCCGGAAGAUUAAGUGAUGGGGUGAGAGCUCCUGAUCGAAGUCCCGGUAAACGGCGGCCGUAACUAUAACGGUCCUAAGGUAGCGAAAUUCCUUGUCGGGUAAGUUCCGACCUGCACGAAUGGCAUAAUGAUGGCCACACUGUCUCCUCCCUGAGACUCAGUGAAGUUGAAAUGUUUGUGAUGAUGCAAUCUCCCCGCGGCUAGACGGAAAGACCCCAUGAACCUUUACUGCAGCUUUGCAUUGGACUUUGAACCGAUCUGUGUAGGAUAGGCGGGAGGCAGAGAACCGAGGACGCCAGUCUUUGGGGAGCCGACGUUGAAAUACCGCCCUGAUUUGUUUGAGGUUCUAACCGCGGACAGUAAACCUGUUCCGGGACCGUGCAUGGUAGGCAGUUUGACUGGGGCGGUCUCCUCCUAAAGGGUAACGGAGGAGUACAAAGGUACGCUAGGUACGGUCGGAAAUCGUGCUGAUAGUGCAAUGGCGCAAGCGUGCUUGACUGCGAGACCGACAAGUCGAGCAGAUGCGAAAGCAGGUCAUAGUGAUCCGGUGGCACUGAAUGGAAGGGCCAUCGCUCAACGGAUAA
RNAcentral lists this ribosomal RNA (1153 nucleotides) under human gut metagenome. Its description in RNAcentral is "bacterial LSU rRNA". It matches the Rfam family "Bacterial large subunit ribosomal RNA", at positions 1309 to 2459 of the family's 2925-position model. The record is from RNAcentral.